Long non-coding RNA from Papaver somniferum (opium poppy), 706 nucleotides. RefSeq lists it as uncharacterized. NCBI's taxonomy places the organism in Eukaryota, Viridiplantae, Streptophyta, Magnoliopsida, Ranunculales, Papaveraceae. The transcript has 4 exons. The record is from RefSeq and is a predicted model, not a curated record.
AAAUUUCUUCGAUUGAUCUAAACACCAAAUUAAUUGCAGUUUCAGGCCAUGCCAACAGAUUUGAAUUGCAAGAUCCAGUUCUUGACUGUUUGAACUCGAGCAUCCAGUGCAUGUUGUCUUAGAGUAUUAGCUUAACUGAUACAAGGGUUCAUGUUCGCCCAGAAGAGAGGAUGGUUGAUGCUCAUGCUGUGGAAGAUGAUGUAGAUUUAGAGGGAAAUCAAGUUUGACUUUGAGGAUUCUAUCUGUUUAAUGUCAUAAGCCAAAUACAAGUUGGUUAACUUAAUAGAAACACCAAACUGCUGUUUAAGGGGAAGAUUUUUUGUUGAUGUUCUGUUCAUGGUACUUCUGGUGAUGAAGAAAUGGAUGACAUGAUGGGUGCUGGUUGUGUAUACUGUAGGCUUUUGGUUUGAGGUUAUUGCACUGAAUUGCUGAGAGCUUCGCACAGGUGGAAUGGCUGAAUAAGUUGCAUCUAGAGACUCACAACAAGAGAAGAUGAUGGCGUGCUGAGCAGCUGAGGAUUGUUGGUGCUGAUUCUGCAGUAUCUAGGAUUGUUGGGUAUCCUUCUACUUUUGCAGCCUAAACUUUGACAACAAAACCAGAUCUAGAAAAUACGGUAUCAGGUCGCAACAGUAUGAAUCUUAGUGAGUUUCAGAAGAAGCAUGAUGUAGCCUUCAAAGCUUUAAGUAUUUGGUAAGAAGAAGCAUGA